This 67-nucleotide transfer RNA is filed under the name Phryganea cinerea. Its description in RNAcentral is "tRNA-Leu". Lineage: Eukaryota; Metazoa; Arthropoda; Insecta; Trichoptera; Phryganeidae. The record is from RNAcentral.
ACUAUUUUGACAGAAAAAUGUAUUAAAUUUAGAAUUUAAUUAUAUGUUAGAAAUAACAUAAAUAGUA